Molecule: ribosomal RNA, 450 nt
Filed under: uncultured bacterium
Lineage: Bacteria
Description: partial 16S ribosomal RNA
Rfam family: Bacterial small subunit ribosomal RNA
Source: RNAcentral
GUGGGGAAUUUUGGACAAUGGGCGCAAGCCUGAUCCAGCAAUGCCGCGUGCAGGAAGAAGGCCUUCGGGUUGUAAACUGCUUUUGUACGGAACGAAAAGGCUCUGGUUAAUACCUGGGGCUCAUGACGGUACCGUAAGAAUAAGCACCGGCUAACUACGUGCCAGCAGCCGCGGUAAUACGUAGGGUGCAAGCGUUAAUCGGAAUUACUGGGCGUAAAGCGUGCGCAGGCGGUGCUGUAAGACAGGCGUGAAAUCCCCGGGCUCAACCUGGGAAUUGCGCUUGUGACUGCAGUGCUGGAGUGCGGCAGAGGGGGAUGGAAUUCCGCGUGUAGCAGUGAAAUGCGUAGAUAUGCGGAGGAACACCGAUGGCGAAGGCAAUCCCCUGGGCCUGCACUGACGCUCAUGCACGAAAGCGUGGGGAGCAAACAGGAUUAGAUACCCCGGUAGUCC